UGCCAAUUGCAGUCUGGUGUGUCCUCAGG
This 29-nucleotide non-coding RNA is filed under the name Rattus norvegicus (Norway rat). Lineage: Eukaryota; Metazoa; Chordata; Mammalia; Rodentia; Muridae. The record is from RNAcentral.